RNAcentral lists this ribosomal RNA (443 nucleotides) under uncultured bacterium. Its description in RNAcentral is "partial 16S ribosomal RNA". It matches the Rfam family "Bacterial small subunit ribosomal RNA", at positions 338 to 795 of the family's 1533-position model. The record is from RNAcentral.
CCUACGGGAGGCAGCAGUGGGGAAUAUUGGGCCAUGGGCGCAACCCUGACCCAGCAACGCCGCGUGAAGGAAGAAGGCUUUCGGGUUGUAAACUUCUUUUCUCAGGGACGAAGCUAGUGACGGUAACUGAGGAAUAAGCCACUGCUACAUACGUAGCAGCAGCCGCGGUACUAAGGGGGCGGCAAGCGUUCUCCGGCAUUACUGGGUGUAAAGGGGGAGUAGGCGGGACUGCAAGGCAGAUGUGAAAACCAGGGGCUCAACCUGAGACCUGCAUUUGAAACUGUAGUGCUUGAGUACUGGAGAGGCAGACGGAAUUCCUAGUGUAGCGGUGAAAUGCGUAGAUAUUAGGAGGAACACCAGUGGCGAAGGCGGUCUGCUGGACAGCAACUGACGCUGAGGCGCGAAAGCGUGGGGAGCAAACAGGAUUAGAUACCCGUGUAGUC